CCCUUAGAUGUUCUGGGCCGCACGCGCGCUACACUGAUGAAUUCAACGAGUCUAAAACCUGGUCUGAUAGGGCUGGGUAAUCUUUUGAAUGUGCAUCGUGAUUGGGAUAGAUGAUUGCAAUUCUUCAUCUUCAACGAGGAAUGCCUAGUAAACGCAAGUCAUCAGCUUGCAUUGAUUACGUCCCUGCCCUUUGUACACACCGCCCGUCGCUCCUACCGAUUGAAUGUUCCGAUGAAUACCAUGGACUGAGAGUAUGAAUGGGUUCGCCUAUUUCUGCUUCUCGGGAAGUGGAGUAAAUCUUAACAUUUAGAGGAAGGAGAAGUCGUAACA
RNAcentral lists this ribosomal RNA (330 nucleotides) under uncultured eukaryote. RNAcentral's name for it is "partial 18S ribosomal RNA". It matches the Rfam family "Eukaryotic small subunit ribosomal RNA", at positions 1470 to 1796 of the family's 1831-position model. The record is from RNAcentral.